UACGAAGGGGGCUAGCGUUGCUCGGAAUGACUGGGCGUAAAGGGCGCGUAGGCGGAUGGCACAGUCAGAUGUGAAAUUCCCGGGCUUAACCUGGGGCUGCAUUUGAUACGUGUUGUCUUGAGUUCGGAAGAGGGUCGUGGAAUUCCCAGUGUAGAGGUGAAAUUCGUAGAUAUUGGGAAGAACACCGGUGGCGAAGGCGGCGACCUGGUCCGACACUGACGCUGAGGCGCGAAAGCGUGGGGAGCAAACAGG
RNAcentral lists this ribosomal RNA (252 nucleotides) under uncultured bacterium. RNAcentral describes it as "partial 16S ribosomal RNA". It matches the Rfam family "Bacterial small subunit ribosomal RNA", at positions 524 to 776 of the family's 1533-position model. The record is from RNAcentral.